Molecule: non-coding RNA, 69 nt
Organism: Camelina sativa (false flax)
Lineage: Eukaryota; Viridiplantae; Streptophyta; Magnoliopsida; Brassicales; Brassicaceae
Source: RefSeq, a predicted model, not a curated record
AACAAGUGGCCUCAGUUUCCUUCUGAUUUAAGGGAAGCAUGUGAAGAAUAUGCAAGACACGCUGAGAAA